Molecule: non-coding RNA, 113 nt
Filed under: Listeria grayi DSM 20601
Lineage: Bacteria; Bacillati; Bacillota; Bacilli; Caryophanales; Listeriaceae
Description: Bacterial small subunit ribosomal RNA
Rfam family: Bacterial small subunit ribosomal RNA
Source: Rfam by way of RNAcentral
UUUAAAGAGAGUUUGAUCCUGGCUCAGGACGAACGCUGGCGGCGUGCCUAAUACAUGCAAGUCGAACGAAUGACCUUAGGAGCUUGCUCCUUUGGUCGUUAGUGGCGGACGGG